GCUUGUCUCAAAGAUUAAGCCAUGCAUGUCUAAGUAUAAAUAGUAUACAUUGAAACUGCGAAUGGCUUAUUAAAACAGUUAUAGUUUAUUUGAUAAUUGAAUUAUACAUGGAUAACCGUGGUAAUUCUAGAGAUAAUACAUGCAGUAAAACCUGAUAUUAGGGUUGUAUUUAUUAGAUAUCAAACCAAUAUUCCAUAUUUGGUCUAUUGUGAUGAUUCAUAAUAACUGAUCGAAGCUUAGCUAGGCUAAGCUAAAUCAUUCAAGUUUCUGCCCUAUCAGCUUUCGAUGGGAGUGUAUUGGACUCCCAUGGCAGUCACGGGUAACGGGGAAUUAGGGUUCGAUUCCGAAGAGGGAGCCUGAGAAACGGCUACCACAUCUAAGGAAGGCAGCAGG
Molecule: ribosomal RNA, 393 nt
Filed under: uncultured Prostomatea
Lineage: Eukaryota; Ciliophora; Prostomatea
Description: partial small subunit ribosomal RNA
Rfam family: Eukaryotic small subunit ribosomal RNA
Source: RNAcentral